RNAcentral lists this ribosomal RNA (465 nucleotides) under uncultured bacterium. RNAcentral's name for it is "partial 16S ribosomal RNA". It matches the Rfam family "Bacterial small subunit ribosomal RNA", at positions 28 to 507 of the family's 1533-position model. The record is from RNAcentral.
GACGAACGCUGGCGGCGUGCUUAACACAUGCAAGUCGAACGGAAAGGCCCUGCUUGCCGGGUACUCGAGUGGCGAACGGGUGAGUAACACGUGGGUGAUCUGCCCUGCACUUCGGGAUAAGCCUGGGAAACUGGGUCUAAUACCGGAUAGGAGCCAUUUUUAGUGUGAUGGUUGGAAAGUUUUUUCGGUGUAGGAUGAGCUCGCGGCCUAUCAGCUUGUUGGUGGGGUAAUGGCCUACCAAGGCGGCGACGGGUAGCCGGCCUGAGAGGGUGGACGGCCACAGUGGGACUGAGAUACGGCCCAGACUCCUACGGGAGGCAGCAGUGGGGAAUAUUGCACAAUGGGCGCAAGCCUGAUGCAGCGACGCCGCGUGGGGGAUGACGGCCUUCGGGUUGUAAACUCCUUUCGCUAGGGACGAAGCUUUUUGUGACGGUACCUAGAUAAGAAGCACCGGCUAACUACAUG